Molecule: ribosomal RNA, 1420 nt
Filed under: Escherichia coli
Lineage: Bacteria; Pseudomonadati; Pseudomonadota; Gammaproteobacteria; Enterobacterales; Enterobacteriaceae
Description: partial 23S ribosomal RNA
Rfam family: Bacterial large subunit ribosomal RNA
Source: RNAcentral
CUGGAGGUAUCAGAAGUGCGAAUGCUGACAUAAGUAACGAUAAAGCGGGUGAAAAGCCCGCUCGCCGGAAGACCAAGGGUUCCUGUCCAACGUUAAUCGGGGCAGGGUGAGUCGACCCCUAAGGCGAGGCCGAAAGGCGUAGUCGAUGGGAAACAGGUUAAUAUUCCUGUACUUGGUGUUACUGCGAAGGGGGGACGGAGAAGGCUAUGUUGGCCGGGCGACGGUUGUCCCGGUUUAAGCGUGUAGGCUGGUUUUCCAGGCAAAUCCGGAAAAUCAAGGCUGAGGCGUGAUGACGAGGCACUACGGUGCUGAAGCAACAAAUGCCCUGCUUCCAGGAAAAGCCUCUAAGCAUCAGGUAACAUCAAAUCGUACCCCAAACCGACACAGGUGGUCAGGUAGAGAAUACCAAGGCGCUUGAGAGAACUCGGGUGAAGGAACUAGGCAAAAUGGUGCCGUAACUUCGGGAGAAGGCACGCUGAUAUGUAGGUGAAGUCCCUCGCGGAUGGAGCUGAAAUCAGUCGAAGAUACCAGCUGGCUGCAACUGUUUAUUAAAAACACAGCACUGUGCAAACACGAAAGUGGACGUAUACGGUGUGACGCCUGCCCGGUGCCGGAAGGUUAAUUGAUGGGGUCAGCGCAAGCGAAGCUCUUGAUCGAAGCCCCGGUAAACGGCGGCCGUAACUAUAACGGUCCUAAGGUAGCGAAAUUCCUUGUCGGGUAAGUUCCGACCUGCACGAAUGGCGUAAUGAUGGCCAGGCUGUCUCCACCCGAGACUCAGUGAAAUUGAACUCGCUGUGAAGAUGCAGUGUACCCGCGGCAAGACGGAAAGACCCCGUGAACCUUUACUAUAGCUUGACACUGAACAUUGAGCCUUGAUGUGUAGGAUAGGUGGGAGGCUUUGAAGUGUGGACGCCAGUCUGCAUGGAGCCGACCUUGAAAUACCACCCUUUAAUGUUUGAUGUUCUAACGUUGACCCGUAAUCCGGGUUGCGGACAGUGUCUGGUGGGUAGUUUGACUGGGGCGGUCUCCUCCUAAAGAGUAACGGAGGAGCACGAAGGUUGGCUAAUCCUGGUCGGACAUCAGGAGGUUAGUGCAAUGGCAUAAGCCAGCUUGACUGCGAGCGUGACGGCGCGAGCAGGUGCGAAAGCAGGUCAUAGUGAUCCGGUGGUUCUGAAUGGAAGGGCCAUCGCUCAACGGAUAAAAGGUACUCCGGGGAUAACAGGCUGAUACCGCCCAAGAGUUCAUAUCGACGGCGGUGUUUGGCACCUCGAUGUCGGCUCAUCACAUCCUGGGGCUGAAGUAGGUCCCAAGGGUAUGGCUGUUCGCCAUUUAAAGUGGUACGCGAGCUGGGUUUAGAACGUCGUGAGACAGUUCGGUCCCUAUCUGCCGUGGGCGCUGGAGAACUGAGGGGGGCUGCUCC